This 253-nucleotide ribosomal RNA is filed under the name uncultured bacterium. Its description in RNAcentral is "partial 16S ribosomal RNA". It matches the Rfam family "Bacterial small subunit ribosomal RNA", at positions 524 to 776 of the family's 1533-position model. The record is from RNAcentral.
UACGUAGGGGGCUAGCGUUGUCCGGAUUUAUUGGGCGUAAAGAGCGUGUAGGCGGCCAGGUAGGUCCGGUGUGAAAACUCGAGGCUUAACCUCGAGAUGUCAUCGGAAACCAUCUGGCUAGAGUCCGGAAGAGGAAGGUGGAAUUCCUGGUGUAGCGGUGAAAUGCGCAGAUAUCAGGAAGAACACCAAUGGCGAAAGCAGCUUUCUGGGACGGUACUGACGCUGAGACGCGAAAGCGUGGGGAGCGAACAGG